AUGGGUCGUUUCCUGCAUCUGUUAUGUCACGCCGCCGUCGCUCACCGCGUGCGUCCACCUAAUGCUACAGGCCCAAUCAGCCGGAGCGGCAUCUCGUGGAGGGGGAGUUGUCGCGCGGGACCGCAGGUGCCUAGGCCCUGGCGCAGCAGGGACGACUCAGCCAUGCCGACCGCGUCCUCCAACGCCCCCCCAACUCCUAGCCCUUCUCCAACGAUGGCGGCCCCUUCGAACGACAUCGACCGCGUGCUCCGGGGAAAUGGGCAGCGCCACCACUUGCCCACGGCCUGUCCCCCGACGCCAUGGACGCGGACGUCGCGGAGCCCGCCGCGGCCUCCCUCGCCGUCUGCGGCACCCAGUCGCGCCCCAAGCCCCGAGGGGUCAGCAUGGACGAUGUCGCCAACAUGGACGAUGCCAGCGGUGGCGGGUCGGGGGGUCACGCCGCGCGGCCACCGCUCUCCGGUCCCCGCCGCCUCGGCCUCCAUGGGCGCAUCCUCAUCGUGGCCAAUCGCCGUGGUGAGGAUGAGUGGUCCCUGGAGAGUGGAGACCAGCGCCGGUGGCCUGGUCAACGCCCUACGCGGUGUGAAGGAUGUGGAGGCGAAGUGGAUCGGCUGGGCCGAUGUGAACAUCCCCGACGAGGUUGGCCAGCGGGCUCUCGCCGAGGAGCUCACCAGCCUCGCCACGCUCAACCUCAGCAACAGCAGCGUCAGCCAUGGCGAGGCGGCAGCCGGUCUGGAGAAGCACCACGGCGUCCUCCAUUAA
RNAcentral lists this ribosomal RNA (759 nucleotides) under Triticum aestivum (bread wheat). RNAcentral describes it as "partial small subunit ribosomal RNA". The record is from RNAcentral. Lineage: Eukaryota; Viridiplantae; Streptophyta; Magnoliopsida; Poales; Poaceae.